GGAUGAACGCUAGCGGCAGGCUUAACACAUGCAAGUCGAGGGGUAACAGGGAAGCUUGCUUCCGCUGACGACCGGCGCACGGGUGCGUAACGCGUAUAGAACCUACCUUUUACAGAGGAAUAGCCUUUAGAAAUGAAGAUUAAUGCCUCAUGGUAUUAAGACUUGGCAUCAAGACUUAAUUAAAGAUUUAUCGGUAAAAGAUGGCUAUGCGUCCUAUUAGCUAGAUGGUAAGGUAACGGCUUACCAUGGCAACGAUAGGUAGGGGUCCUGAGAGGGAGAUCCCCCACACUGGUACUGAGACACGGACCAGACUCCUACGGGAGGCAGCAGUGAGGAAUAUUGGGCAAUGGAGGCAACUCUGACCCAGCCAUGCCGCGUGAAGGAAGACGGCCCUAUGGGUUGUAAACUUCUUUUAUACAGUAAGAAACCACUCUACGUGUAGAGUGCUGACGGUACCAUACGAAUAAGGACCGGCUAACUCCGUGCCAGCAGCCGCGGUAAUACGGAGGGUCCAAGCGUUAUCCGGAUUCAUUGGGUUUAAAGGGUUCGUAGGCGGAUAAAUAAGUCAGUGGUGAAAUCCCGAAGCUCAACUUCGGAACUGCCAUUGAAACUGUUUAUCUUGAAUUUAGUUGAAGUGGGCGGAAUAUGACAUGUAGCGGUGAAAUGCAUAGAUAUGUCAUGGAACACCAAUUGCGAAGGCAGCUCACUAAGCUAAUAUUGACGCUGAUGAACGAAAGCAUGGGUAGCGAACAGGAUUAGAUACCCUGGUAGUCCAUGCCGUAAACGAUGAUAACUAGCUAUUGGCGAUACACAGUCAGUGGCAAAGCGAAAGCAUUAAGUUAUCCACCUGGGAAGUACGGUCGCAAGAUUGAAACUCAAAGGAAUUGACGGGGGCCCGCACAAGCGGUGGAGCAUGUGGUUUAAUUCGAUGAUACGCGAGGAACCUUACCAGGGCUUAAAUGGGGAACGACAGGCUGGGAAACCAGCUCUUCUUCGGACGGACUGCAAGGUGCUGCAUGGUUGUCGUCAGCUCGUGCCGUGAGGUGUCGGGUUAAGUCCCAUAACGAGCGCAACCCCUAUUCUUAGUUGCCAGCGAGUAAUGUCGGGGACUCUAAGAAAACUGCCUGCGUAAGCAGUGAGGAAGGUGGGGAUGACGUCAAAUCAUCACGGCCCUUACGUCCUGGGCCACACACGUGCUACAAUGGUAUAGACAAAGGGCAGCUACCUGGUGACAGGAUGCUAAUCUCUAAACUAUAUCUCAGUUCGGAUUGAAGUCUGCAACUCGACUUCAUGAAGCUGGAAUCGCUAGUAAUCGCGCAUCAGCCAUGGCGCGGUGAAUACGUUCCCGGGCCUUGUACACACCGC
This 1365-nucleotide ribosomal RNA is filed under the name uncultured prokaryote. Its description in RNAcentral is "partial 16S ribosomal RNA". It matches the Rfam family "Bacterial small subunit ribosomal RNA", at positions 27 to 1393 of the family's 1533-position model. The record is from RNAcentral.